CUUCUUUCCUGCUCCGAGUCCGUUACCUUUCCAGUGUCGAUAAAACAUGCUUUAUAUCGUGUUCGUUUUGAGCCAUGUGUAAUGCCUAGUAUGCUGUUUUGUUUUUUGCUCUGAGGUUUGAGUUGAAUGUUUUCUGUUUGAAUGAUUGAACGAUUGAAGCUCUGGGUGUUCAAAUUUUGGCUCUGUGUUAUGUUCAAUUAACUUCUCUUCUUCUAUUGGAUAUUCUCAUGUUCAAAAUUUGGUUGAUACUUACCAAUGCCCUGUAUCCAAGCUUAGUUUACCUAUUUUCUUCUACUGAUCGUAAGUUUAGUUUUGGUCUUGGAAGAAUUGGUACUGCUCUGACUUUUCACCUUGGCUUUCUCUUGUUUUUUGUAUAGCAUUCUUUGAAUGAAUUCAUCUCCUCAUUCCCCCCCCCCACCCAAAAAAAAAGGUGCAUUGCUCUGAGUCAUAGUAUUAUCUUUUUUGAUUGAUAUGGAUUGAAUGACUGAAGCUGUGGCUCUUUAUUCUCUCUCUCUCUCUCUCUCGGUACUAAGUUCUAAUGGACAGCAAUAACAUAGUUGAUUCUUCACCUCUUCAAGGAUCUCAAUCUCAACAACAAAUUAAUGAGCAUGUUACAACUCCCUCAAUCACUUCAAGUUAACCAAUGAGACCAACUAAACAACUUUGGAGCUGCAGUGGGCAGUGGCAAUAUAUUUGUUACUCCGUUUGAUUGUUUAGUGCCAACUGAACUACUCCAGAAUUUAUGAAAGUGACUAGUCACUGUACAUGAGAAGAAAAGAAAUUUUAGUGAAGCUGUUGGAAACUUGUUGUAGUAAGAUUGUAAUUGAGCAGUUGCAUUCACAGUGUUUGAAAUCAGGUCUCACCCAUGAUAGGUUUAUUGCAACCAAUCUUAGUGUGCUGUAUGCUAAAUAUGCAUCAACAAGGCACGCGCAUAUACUGUUUGAAGAAACACCCUACAAAACUGCCUAUCUAUGGAAUUCCAUGCUUAGGAGCUUAUGUAGGAAGAGAGCAUGGGAAGAGACCUUACGCCUAUUUCGCCAAAUGAUUGUUCAAGCUGUAUCUGCUAAGGACAGACCUGACAGCUUCACAUUGUCAGUUGCUCUGAAAUCAUGUACAGGUCUUCUGGAGCUUGAAUUGGGAAAAACAAUUCAUGGAUUUGUCAAGAAGAAGAAUGAUAUGGACAUGUUUGUGGGGUCGGCUUUAAUUGAACUCUAUGCAAAAUGUGGACAAAUGAAUGAUGCUGCCAAAAUUUUUAUGGAAUAUUCGAAACCAGAUGUUGUUUUAUGGACUUCAAUGGUUACUGGGUAUGAGCAGAAUGGCAAUCCGAGAGAAGCUUUGUCUGUUUUUUCCUGUAUGACUGUGCAAGAGCAUGUGAAUCCUGAUCCAGUUACACUUGUUAGUGCUGUUUCUGCUUGUGCUAAAUUAUCUGAUUUUAGGCUUGGAAGUAGUAUACAUGGGUUUGUAAUAAGAAGGGGCUUUACCACUAAAUUAGCAUUGGUCAACUCAUUGCUAAAUUUAUAUGCAAAAAGUGGUGCCAUCAAGAUUGCAGCUAAUCUGUUCAAGGAAAUGCCUAGUAAGGAUGUUAUAUCUUGGAGCUCAAUGGUUGCAUGUUAUGCCAAUAAUGGAGCUGGAAACAAUGCAUUAGAUCUUUUUAAUAAAAUGAUUGAUGAAGGUGUGGAACCAAACUCAGUUACUGUAGUUAGUGCAUUGCAAGCAUGUGCAUCCACUUCCAAUUUGGAAGUAGGCAUGAAAAUUCAUAAGUUGGCAGUUGAUAAAGAUUUUGAGUUGGAUGUAGCAGUCUCUACAGCUCUGAUCAACAUGUAUAUGAAGUGCUAUUCACCUGAAAAUGCAAUUAAUGUAUUCAAAAGAAUGCCCAAGAAAGAUGUGGUCACAUGGGCUGCUUUGAUAAGUGGGUAUGCUCAAAUCGGGAUGGCACACAUAUCAAUGGAGGUUUUCUGCAACAUGUUAUCUCAUGGAACCCGACCAGAUGCAGUUGCCAUAGUGAAGAUUCUUACUGCUUCUGCUGGAUUGGGGAUUCUUCCACAAGCUGCUUGUCUACAUGGUUUUGUUUUUAAAAGUGGGUUCAACAGUAACAUAUUUAUUGGAUCAUCUCUCAUUGAGUUGUUUGCAAAAUGUGGUAGCAUAUACAAUGCAAACAAGGUUUUCAAAGUAAUGAUAGAUAGAGAUGUUGUUGCCUGGAGCUCUAUGAUUGCCGCAUAUGGGCUCCAUGGGCAAGGAGAAGAGGCUUUGAAAUUAUUCAAUCAGAUGGUUAACGAUUCAGAUGUUAAGCCUAGCAAUAUAACCUUCCUUUCAAUUCUAUCUGCUUGUAGUCAUGCAGGUUUGGUUGAGGAGGGCAUAAAGAUGUUUGAUAUGAUGUUAAAUGAGUACCAACUGAAGCCACAGUCAGAGCAUUAUGGGAUAAUGGUUGAUCUUCUUGGUCGCAUGGGAGAUUUGGAUAGGGCAAUGGACAUAAUUAAUCAUAUGCCCAUGCCAGUUGGGCCUCAUGUUUGGGGAGCCUUACUUGGUGCGAGUCGGAUACACCAAAAUGUAAAGAUGGGGGAGAUUGCGGCAAUGAAUCUUUUCUCAUUAGAUCCUAAUCAUGCAGGAUAUUAUAUACUUUUAUCAAAUAUCUAUGCUGUUGAGAAAAAUUGGCAUAAUGCUUCAAAGCUGAGAACAUUGAUAAAGGAGAAUAGGUUGAAAAAGAUAGUGGGUCAAAGCAUGGUGGAAGUAAAAAAUGAGGUUCAUAGUUUUGUAACUAGUGAUAAAAUGCAUGCUGAGUCUGAUCAGAUUUAUGAUUUGCUGAGAAAAUUAGAUGUGAAAUUGAGGGAAGAAGGGAAUGCUCCUCAAUUACAGGUAUAGGAAAUUUUAUAUGUUCUACUCAUGAUUGUGUGUGAUCCAAUGUCUGAUUUCCAAGUUCUACUCGUGUUUUCUGACUCAAAAGUGUUUUAGUGCUGUUGCGAUGUUGCCCAUGUUUAACCUAACACUGUUACACGCCCAAAGCAAGGCCAUUUUACAUUAGGGAAGCUUUCCAUUACUUCUGCUUUGUAUAUGUAUUUAUGAAGUCGUGUUAUCGCUUGGUGUAGAAAUAAUAUUUGAUCUGUUACCCUUAGGAGUAGUUGUUUCUGUAGUUUUUCCUAUGUUUGAUCUCCCUAUGGACUAAACAACAGAUCUGUUAAGGACUAAUAGUGGAAGGAUGGAAGUGGUGCCGUGAUAAGCAUGUGUAGAUGGUUGCUAUCGAUGGCAGAGGUGCAUUACCCACCUUCUCUUCUACAUUCAGUCUUUGCAGCACUUCUCUCUCCUGCUCCAGAACUUGUUCCACUUUCAGUCUCUGCCCCAAUUUCAGUCUUCCGCUCCACUUGUGAACUUUGUUGCUGAGGUAAUUUGAAGAACCAUUAGAAAUUUUAAAAAUAAAAAUGAACAGCCAGAUUAUGUUGAAAUGGAGGUUAUGACUCCUUCAUUUUUAGCAAAACGGUGUGCAUAAGAGAUGAGCAUGUGGUGCUCGUCUAUCUAAUGAGCAUGGAAUGCAUACUCUCAUUUUCAGUCCCACCUCUGUCAAAAACUCAAGAAUGCUUCUUCGAAGGACAAUACUCUCCUUCAACAAUCCUCUUCAUGGCCACCACCUUCGCUCCCUAGCCACUGCCUUGUGGGAACCCCACCUUGCCAACCCUAUCACACCAGUGAA
RNA transcript from Prosopis cineraria, 3682 nucleotides. It is a transcript of the gene named putative pentatricopeptide repeat-containing protein At1g26500, with no coding region annotated. The record is from RefSeq and is a predicted model, not a curated record. The transcript has 3 exons. NCBI's taxonomy places the organism in Eukaryota, Viridiplantae, Streptophyta, Magnoliopsida, Fabales, Fabaceae.